AUUGAACGCUGGCGGCAGGCCUAACACAUGCAAGUCGAACGAGUGGCGGACGGGUGAGUAAUGUCUGGGAAACUGCCCGAUGGAGGGGGAUAACUACUGGAAACGGUAGCUAAUACCGCAUACCAUCGGAUGUGCCCAGAUGGGAUUAGCUAGUAGUUGGGGUAACGGCGCACCUAGGCGACGAUCCCUAGCUGGUCUGAGGUGAUGACCAGCCGCACUGGAACGGAGACGCGGUCCAGACUCCUACGGGAGGCAGCAGUGCGGAAGAUUGCACAAGGGGCGCAAGCCGGAUGCAGCCAUGCCGCGUGUAUGAAGAAGGCCUUCGGGUUGUAAAGUACUUUCAGCGAGGAGGCGUUACUCGCAGAAGAAGCACCGGCUAACUCCGUGCCAGCAGCCGCGGUAAUUG
This 406-nucleotide ribosomal RNA is filed under the name uncultured bacterium. Its description in RNAcentral is "partial 16S ribosomal RNA". It matches the Rfam family "Bacterial small subunit ribosomal RNA", at positions 30 to 527 of the family's 1533-position model. The record is from RNAcentral.